This 253-nucleotide ribosomal RNA is filed under the name uncultured bacterium. RNAcentral's name for it is "partial 16S ribosomal RNA". It matches the Rfam family "Bacterial small subunit ribosomal RNA", at positions 524 to 776 of the family's 1533-position model. The record is from RNAcentral.
UACGAAGGGGGCUAGCGUUGCUCGGAAUCACUGGGCGUAAAGGGUGCGUAGGCGGGUCCUUUAGUUAGUGGUGAAAUCCUGGAGCUCAACUCCAGAACUGCCUUUGAUACUGAGAGUCUUGAGUUCGGGAGAGGUGAGUGGAACUGCGAGUGUAGAGGUGAAAUUCGUAGAUAUUCGCAAGAACACCAGUGGCGAAGGCGGCUCACUGGCCCGAUACUGACGCUGAAGCACGAAAGCGUGGGGAGCAAACAGG